AUUUGACAUUAUGGAUCAAAGAAAUCAUCCUUCCCUAUCAUCGAGCGGGCUCACCGUACUUUGAAGCAGCAAUUAGAUCGGCGUAGGGAGGGGGAAUUAGGG
Egretta garzetta (little egret) is the source of this 102-nucleotide long non-coding RNA. RefSeq lists it as uncharacterized. NCBI's taxonomy places the organism in Eukaryota, Metazoa, Chordata, Aves, Pelecaniformes, Ardeidae. The transcript is spliced from 4 exons. The record is from RefSeq and is a predicted model, not a curated record.